UUUUCAAUUUCAGAAUAUCUACAUACGUAAAUAUAGAGCUGUCUUUCCGUUUUCACGACAUUAAUUUAUUCUGGAUUCAUUACAUAUAUUUGAUUGACAGAGAGAAGAAGCGGCAUCAGGAUUAACAUAAGAAAAUCACUGCAUUAAUUAUAAAGUGUGUUUUAUUUUAUAUAUUAUUUUAUAUAUCAUGGUUCGAGAAAAAUAUUUCAUUUUAAUAUUUUUCAGAAUGAUGCAAUUUAAUCCCUUGAAUGUUAUAAUGUUACUCUAUACAACUUUCAUUGCUCUUAACUUUCCACAAAGUCCGAUAACUCCAAAAGAAGUAGAAGUGAAGGAGAAGAUUGAAUAUUUGUUAAAAGAAAUAGAAAAUGAGGAAUUUGAAAUAUAAGAGGAAGAAACUUUAGAUUUUUACAAUACAUAUGAAGUUCCAGAAGCGGAAAAUAUUGAUUUAUUAGAGAAAAAUGAAAGAAAAGAAUAUCUCCCGGAAGAAGUUAUUUGUAGCUCCGUUGAAGCAGGAAUAUCAAAUGAUUAUAAAAGGCAAGCUGUGAAAUACUGGAAGAGCGGUAAAACAGGAGCAAGAUCGCUUGAAGGAGUUAAAAGAAGAUACAGAAAAGUAACAUCGAUGCGACAAUUACGACGAUGGAAGGACCAAAUCAGUGCAGGUAGCAGCAAAGAUGAAAAAUUAAAAAGAAUUUCUGAAUAUAUAACAAACCGUUUUAAUGAAGCGCUUGAAAAUAGGAUAAUUAUUCAUGACAUUGACAUUGCUCGAUGGGCUUCUCGAGCACAAGAAGAGAAAAAUGUGGUAGGAUUCAAAGCUUCCGAAACGUGGGUAAAAAGAUUCAAAACUUCAUAUGAUAUCGUCUCUCGAAAAAUAACAAAAUUUGUAACAAAAAAAUCAUUGUUAUCGAAAACAGAUUUAGAAGAUAAGUGUAAUACAUUUAUUGAAAAUGUAAAAUAUUAUAUUGAACGAUACGGCGUAGACAAUGUUUAUAAUUCGGAUCAGAGUGGAUUCCAACUUGAAUUUCACUCUGGUCGUACUUUAUCCCAAAAAGGUCUAAAAAAUAUAGAAGCUGUAAUACAAUCUACAUCAGCAACCAUACACAGUUAUACUAUACAGCCGACUAUUUCUGCAGAUGGUAAAAAAUCUAAGGUAUCCUGAAAGUAUAACGUUUGUGAACGCACCCAAAAUCGGGACUACUGAUAGGAUCCACUAGAUGCUUCGAAGCGCCGGAUAAAGACCACUCUUUGUACGCAGAAUACGCACAGAUUCGACGGCUGGAUAAAAAAGAGCGUGAAACGUAGGAAGAAUAACAGCAGUAAGUUUUACGUAAUUCACAUUAUCUUUGUAGUGUUCUUAUAUAGUAUUCCUGCAACGGCUACGUAGCGUCAGAUAUACGAGAUUUUGGAGCAUUUCGUCCAUAGACCUUAUAUAUAUGGACUGGUCAUACAUAGCAGAUCGUGUCCGGAGGAGGUUAGACAGAGAAACGUACUUUUCGGGACUUCUCUGUCUUUUCAUCUCCGGAAAUAUGUUUUGUGCAUGCGUGGAUUAAAUAAACUAUUCUGAUUGGUUGUACGCAACAUGAUAUAGUUUCUGCAAACAUGGCGAUGUAGGUAUCUGUGUUGUGCCAGAUAUUGGAUAGCGCUUGAUGGGAUAAAUGAUCUGAUCUUUUAAAAAGAUCUUAAAAAGAAGAAAACUUCACCAUGGUUGAAACAUGUGUCCUUUGCGGUGUGAAGUAUUGUACGAAAAAUAGUGUUUCUUUUCAUUCUUUCCCAACAAAUGAAAAAUAUAAAAAGUUAUGGAUGGAAGCGUACAAUUUAAGUACAAUAAAGAAAAAAAGUAAGAUUUGUUCACGUCACUUCAGUUCUUUACAAUUUAAAGCAUGGAAUGAAGGACGUAGAUUAUUGAAGAACGAUGCAGUUCCAUUAUUAUUUUUUGGAGAAAAUA
Molecule: RNA transcript, 1942 nt
Organism: Harpegnathos saltator (Jerdon's jumping ant)
Lineage: Eukaryota; Metazoa; Arthropoda; Insecta; Hymenoptera; Formicidae
Exons: 3
Source: RefSeq, a predicted model, not a curated record